CGGGGAGUAGCGCAGCCUGGUAGCGCACGUGCUUUGGGUGCAUGGGGUCGCAGGUUCAAAUCCUGUCUCCCCGACCA
RNAcentral lists this transfer RNA (77 nucleotides) under Methylocystaceae bacterium. Its description in RNAcentral is "tRNA-Pro". It matches the Rfam family "tRNA". From Rfam's summary of the family: Transfer RNA (tRNA) molecules are approximately 80 nucleotides in length. Their secondary structure includes four short double-helical elements and three loops (D, anti-codon, and T loops). Lineage: Bacteria; Pseudomonadati; Pseudomonadota; Alphaproteobacteria; Hyphomicrobiales; Methylocystaceae. The record is from RNAcentral.